CAGCUUGUUGGUGAGGUAAUGGCUCACCAAGGCGUCGACGGGUAGCCGGCCUGAGAGGGUGACCGGCCACACUGGGACUGAGACACGGCCCAGACUCCUACGGGAGGCAGCAGUGGGGAAUAUUGCACAAUGGGCGGAAGCCUGAUGCAGCAACGCCGCGUGAGGGAUGACGGCCUUCGGGUUGUAAACCUCUUUUAGCAGGGAAGAAGCGAGAGUGACGGUACCUGCAGAAAAAGCGCCGGCUAACUACGUGCCAGCAGCCGCGGUAAUACGUAGGGCGCAAGCGUUAUCCGGAAUUAUUGGGCGUAAAGAGCUCGUAGGCGGUUUGUCGCGUCUGCUGUGAAAUCCCGAGGCUCAACCUCGGGUCUGCAGUGGGUACGGGCAGACUAGAGUGCGGUAGGGGAGAUUGGAAUUCCUGGUGUAGCGGUGGAAUGCGCAGAUAUCAGGAGGAACACCGAUGGCGAAGGCAGAUCUCUGGGCCGUAACUGACGCUGAGGAGCGAAAGGGUGGGGAGCAAACAGGCUUAGAUACCCUGGUAGUCCACCCCGU
This 549-nucleotide ribosomal RNA is filed under the name Microbacterium sp. RNAcentral's name for it is "bacterial SSU rRNA". It matches the Rfam family "Bacterial small subunit ribosomal RNA", at positions 242 to 803 of the family's 1533-position model. Lineage: Bacteria; Bacillati; Actinomycetota; Actinomycetes; Micrococcales; Microbacteriaceae. The record is from RNAcentral.